ACAAAACCAAAAUUAUCAAUACAUUAUAAAGAAAUAUUUAAACAUACAUGCACAAACAUAUAUACAUAUAUAUGUAUGAAUACAUAGAUGAUUGUAUACAGGAACUCUUAGCUCCACGAGGAGCAAAAAUCUGGAUACAAUGUUUAUCAGUUCACAUGUACUUCUAGUAUGUUCGAUUAAAUUAACAUGAAUAUAAAACCGAUUGCCCUUGAUCAACUACCAACAAUA
This 228-nucleotide long non-coding RNA is filed under the name Elaeis guineensis (African oil palm). RNAcentral describes it as "long non-coding RNA (EGUI_LNC015862)". Lineage: Eukaryota; Viridiplantae; Streptophyta; Magnoliopsida; Arecales; Arecaceae. The record is from RNAcentral.